GUUGCGUUCCUUUAUUAAUCAACUACUCUUGAUUUAUAGUUUGGUACCUGGGUUUUACUAUUGGUUCCCAUUUAUUUGGCAUCCUUGGUGGAAUGAGGCAUUCUGUUUCAAUCCCUUUUGCUUUCCUUUGUGCUAGUCUUUUGUUGUACUCUUUAAAAUAUUUGUCAGAAGAAGAAGAACAACAAGGUAAAAAACAGGUAUAGGCUAUACAAACCUAUUCAAGUGAGUUUGGUGUUCUUCCUGAUUCUGCAUCCAUUCAUUUGGACAAAUUUUGCCAUGAAUCAUUAAUAUAGUAAGACAAGGUUUUCAUACCAUCUGGUAUUUUUGUCUGAAGAUCUUGGCUUUGAUCCAAAGUGAGAGUUUUCUUUGGUUUUCUGUCCUACCAGGGGAUGCAGAUUACCAUAUCUGUGUUCAGAAAUGGCCAACUGUAAGACUGGGGACCUAAGACUCAAGAUGAAUAAGCAUUAUAUUCUUGCCAACAGUUGCAAGUUCUCAUGGGAUUAUCUGAGAAUAAAUAGUCUCCUUUUCAGCAGAAACUACUGCUUCUUAUAUGUGCAUUAGUAAUUCUUAACACUUCUCUUUCUAAAUUUCACUAACUAAGGAUGCUUUGGGCCUUCAGUGGCAACUCUGGGGACCAUUUGACUUGGACAAAAGUAUUCAUUUGAGAAGUGCCAUAGAAAAGUAAAGAAUAAGAUUUCUCAGGACCAUUUUGUCAGCAGUUUUGAUUGGUAUCCAGCCUUUUUUUUUUUUUUUUUUUUUUUUUUUUUGUCUUUUGUCUUUUGUCUUUUUGUUGUUGUUGUUGUUGUUGUUGCUAUUUCUUGGGCCGCUCCUGCGGCAUAUGGAGGUUCCCAGGCUAGGGGUUGAAUCGGAGCUGGAGCCACCAGCCUAUGCCAGAGCCACAGCAACGCGGGAUCCGAGCCGCGUCUGCAACCUACACCACAGCUCACGGCAACGCCGGAUCGUUAACCCACUGAGCAAGGGCAGGGACCGAACCCGCAACCUCAUGGUUCCUAGUCGGAUUCGUUAACCACUGCGCCACGACGGGAACUCCAGCAACAAACAGCCUUUUGAAGAGAGAAAAAGGCUUUAUUUCUGGAUAGCCAAGCAAAGGAAAUAGGAGGCAAUGCUCAGAUCUGUCUCCUCAGUUUACUCGUGCGGAUAUUUAUUGUUUAAGUGGGGAGGCGGAGAAGGCUAGGAAAUUGUUGGUGGCAAGUAAUGCUAAGUUUCCAAAGUUUUCUGCCCACGUGUGACUAUUUUUCAUGCCUCUUCAUGGAUCACAUGUGUAAAUUUGGGGUGUAGAGGUUGGAUGUGUUAAAUGUGGUGGAUUUUCAGCCUGUGACAUUUAAGUUCAUUAUUAGUUAUACUAAUUCUUCAAUGUGCCUUGGAGAUGUGCAGCAGAAGGGGCUGUCAGCAGGUUAUUUCCAUUUUGCUUUUUUCCUGGUACCCUACAAAAUGAGUUUGGUGGGUGGUGUCUUGGUGCAUCAUUUUGUUUCUCUUUGUUUCUAUCUUAUGGUCUUGAGUAUGUACUAUAUAAGAUAGGGUUUCACAAAAGUCUACAAAUGUAAUUCUGAAUCCAAAAUUCCUUCACCAAGGAGUUCCCAAUGUGGUGCAGUGGGGUGAGGUGCAUCUCUGGAGCACUGGGAUGCAGGUUAAAUCUCCAACUGGGCACAACGGGUUAAGGAUCCACCGUUGCCAGAAAUGGAUUUUCAACAGUACUUAUUUCACCACUUCAGAUUUCAGAAGUCCUUCUCCCCCAAAAUAUAUUUGAAAUAUUUGGUUUAUCUAGGUUUUAAGAAGCACAUUUACUGGCACACUGGCUGAUAAACAGCUUGAAAAUAGUUUUAUCUGAUCACACUGUGAUAUCAAUUGAUGUCUUAAAGUGUUGUGGAUAAGUUGCCCUGGAUGAGCUUCUGGUUAGUUAUCAGAUCUAUAGUUCUUGAAUUGCCAAAUAUCUAUUUGUACCAGAAGAUGAGAAUGCCGUUUAUUUACAAGAAACAUUUGAAAUGAGAAUUUAUUUAGUUCCAAAGUCUUUAAUUCUAGUUCUUAAUAUGAAUGAUAAAUGAAUACAUUGAUUUAAAAUAAGCAAAUAUGCAUCACUGUUUGUAGUUUUUGCACUGAGUUAGCUUGUUAAUUUUGAGCCUUUAAAUAAAAAUGAUAGAUUUCUUAAAAGUGUGACUGACUUCAGUAAUUCUAUUUAGGGCUUUAAUCCCUUUGUUUUUUCAUUACUAUAUUUUUGCUUGAUAAAUGUUAAAAUUCAAAUUACUAUGUGAAAUAACCAUGUUAGAAUGAUAACACUGUGGAGUUAUUAAAUCUGUAAAGCUGUUGGGGAUGUAUGGUGAGAAAGGCGAGUCAUCAUUAUGUGAACUGAUUCUUUGUUUAAUUCCUCAAAAUAUCUUUAGAAAGCAUGAUCCCAGUAUAGCUCACCAGUUUAGAGUGUGUCUUAUUUUAAAUAAUGAUGUAUGAUAUACUUGUUUUCCACUCUAUUCAAACAUUUGUUUAUUUGGUAUGGAACUCAAGAAAACAUUAAUCUCUGGGGAAUGGUAGAAAUAUAGCCAGUAGGCUAUAUUUUACUCAUAAACAUGUCAGUACAAUAAUCUCCAGGGUAUUUGGAAAAUUUGAUAUGAUACCAUUAAUAAUCUGUAACAUUUUAGUCAUCAAAUGCAGGGAUUCUAUGUAUUGAUUGAGAAGUGAUCUAUAAUAAAACUUUUCAACAUUUGAGUUUCACAAUAAUGGCACCUGAACACUAGAUUAUUAAAUCACAUUGAAGUCUCUUUUUCUUUUCCUGUAAAUGAGGUCACUUCUUUGGAAAUGAACUUUUACCUUUAAUAGCCUCUUCUGGCUGUGUGAACUUGGACAACUUGCAGAAUCAUAAAAUCUCAGGGAUAAAAGCACUAUUAAAGGUUAUAUUUUCCAGUUAUUCACAAAAUUCAUUGAUCUUCUCUUUAUUCAGCAUUCCAACAGAGUAGUCAUUCUACUUCUGUUUAAAUAUUUUCAAGGAACAGGGAACUCAGUACAACCCAAUGAACUCAAAGUGAUAUCAGUCAGUUUUAAGAAUUCUGUCUUUGUUCACUUUGUUCAUUUGAGUCAGCUUCCUCACAGUGAAAAUGGAGAUAACAAUAGCUGUCUAUUUCAUAGAACUGUUAAGAAUAAAAUGUUAUGCAUUUAGAAAAUACAGUGUACAUAGCUAAGCUGGGAUAUACUUGUGUUUUCCCAUUCAGUGUAGUAAACUGUGUAUAAUUAUUCACAAAUAUUUGCUUCUAUUCUCUGGGGAAAAAUUAUACUUCAUUGUCCAUUGAUAUUAAACUCAAGUGAUUUGCAUAGGCCUAUGGAAUAAGAAUCUAAGUAACGUGUCACUUUUGAGGAAAAUUUUGAGAGUCAGAACAUGGUCCUGUGUUCUCUUUCUUUUCUGUAUCAGUGAAGACAAAGUCUGCUUUGACCAACUAGAUCCCGGAAUGAAGAUAAUAUAGAACCGAGCUCUAGGGCUCAGAUGCAACUGUCACAUAAUUCAUUGAGAAUUUUCUUAAUUAUAGCCAAACAUAACCUUGCCUAUCUUCUUUGAUACAAACUUUCCCCUUGCUUUUCAUAUUAUAUUCUUACAUACUUCUUACUAUUAUAAAGAGACCCUUUUUUUCCUCGCUGGCCCCAUAUGAACUUGAAUAUGAAUAGACAGGAAAGUAUACUUUUUUGGGUUGUACUUAGAAGAUUUCAGUGACAUUACUGAUUAGGUAUUUAUUGCAUAAAUUGAGACCCUUUUUCUCUAUGUAAUGAUGAUUUAUGACAGAAUUUUUAUGAAAAUUCAUUUGGACUUAUAGUACUUUUUCUCUAACAGAAGAGGCAUAGAUAAAGCAAACCUUCAGGUUUGUGUGAUAAAUGUAAUUUAUGAUCCCAAGCUGAGAGAGCAGAAUUUAGCACAGUGGAGUUAAAUAAAAUCCAUGAAAUAAAUUAGAAACAAUUGAAAAUGUUGAUUCUUCUAAAAUGAUGAGAAUGUUUAAAAUUCACUACAUUUCUGCAAACCCAAAUGUAAGUGUAGUAGAGCUUCUUUUAGAGAGUGAAGGAUCAGUUUGGCUAGUCUAAGAUUUUGUGUGCUUGCAUGUAUGUGUGUGUGUGUGUGUGUGUGUGUACCUAAAUAACUCCAAAAUGUUUUUUCUCCUACAGACUUUGUUAGGAAGAAAUUGUCUUAGGUCAUCCCCUCUGUUUCUCUGAAAAUACCUUAAGCUAUGCUUAUGUGAUUUUUUUUUUCCCCAUUUCAUAAUGGCCUUCAUAUACAGUGUUAUUUGGAUAAAAAUAUUAGGGCCUACUGUACUUUCUCUCUGUUUUGUCAUUGAUCUAUUACUAACAUUUUAAACAGGGUCAGUUAUUUAGUAGUUGCUCAGAAUAUUUGUUGAAUAAGUACAUUUGUCGACUGAAAAAAAAUACAACUUGAAAGUUAAGAGUUAAGUUUUAUUUGGGGUGAAAUUAGGACUUAAGCCUGGGAGACAGCAUUUCAAACACACAAAAUUUUAUAGAGAAGAUUAGUGGUUACUAGAAAUUUUGGGGGGUGGGUGAAAUAGCCGAGGGGGUUGAAUUAUACACUGACUGGUGGUUAAGUAGAAUUUUGGUGAUGAUCACGUUGUAAUGAAUACAGUUAUCCAAUCAUAAUGUUGUAUAACUGAAACAUAUAUUUAUAGACAACUUACCUCAAUAAAAACCUAAUAAAAUUAAAACUAAAGAAUAAACAAUACUAUCAACAACCAAAACAAUACUAAAUGAGGUCCUAAGGAUGGGGAUGGGAUCCCUUAGGAUUAGUGUCCUUAUAAAAAGAGACACCAGUGAGCUCCCUUUCUGAAGGUUCAGGCACUGAAAGGUCAUGUGAGGAUUUAGCAAGAAGGUACUGUCUACAAGCCAUGAAGACAGCCCUAACUGCCCAACCUCCCAAGGAAAAAAUGGUCCUAGUUCUCAGGUCAGUGUAGCGCAGUGUUUAAGACAGAAGCUCACUCAUUUCCAGCUUUAGAGCAUGCCAGUGUUCUGCCCUAAAACCUGUUUCAUAGUUUGCAGAAAGCAGUAUCUUUAGUAAGACAAUUAUUCACCUGUGAACAGGAGAUUUUAUUUCAUGUAUUUGAAAAGCUGCCAAGAUUUGACAUUUUAUAUUUGUCCAGCAUUUGAGAAGUUAUUAUUUUGGAAUUUGUGGGAGAGAGAAUGCUAUAAAAGUUCAAUCUCAUAUGAAAUUGUUUGAAAUUACCUUUCAGUUGGCUGAAUAAAUAGAUUAUUGAUUUCACCCUUCUAUAAAAUAAAAAGGUUAAUGAACAAAAUCACACAGCAUUCAUUUCUAGAAGAUAUAUGUAUGGAUUAUAACCUUCCCUUGCAAAAAGACUUAGUAUUUAUAUACCAAAUUCAUGAGCUGUGAUGAUAUUAUGAUAGGGAAUGAGUGGUGCCAUGUCUUUAGCUUUACAAUCCUGCCAGUUUAUAAUGAUUGCUCUUUUGCAUUGUAGGUGGGUAUUAUUUAAUAUGGAGGACCUCUUACAGUGCAGGCUAGUGGAGAGA
Molecule: long non-coding RNA, 5520 nt
Filed under: Sus scrofa (pig)
Lineage: Eukaryota; Metazoa; Chordata; Mammalia; Artiodactyla; Suidae
Description: lncRNA (ENSSSCG00000062681.1)
Source: RNAcentral